This is a long non-coding RNA of Oncorhynchus keta (chum salmon), 727 nucleotides long. RefSeq lists it as uncharacterized. Lineage: Eukaryota; Metazoa; Chordata; Actinopteri; Salmoniformes; Salmonidae. The transcript is spliced from 4 exons. The record is from RefSeq and is a predicted model, not a curated record.
GCAGGCAGUGGAGUCAACAGCCACCUUAGACAGUAACAGCAGUAUACUGUAGGUACGGGUAAAGGAUAGAUAAUAGACAGUAACAGCAGUAUACUGUAGGUAGGGGUAAAGGAUAGAUAAUAGACAGUAACAGCAGUAUACUGUAGGUAGGGGUAAAGGAUAGAUAAUAGACAGUAACAGCAGUAUACUGUAGGUAGGGGUAAAGGAUAGAUAAUAGACAGUAACAGCAGUAUACUGUAGGUAGGGGUAAAGGAUAGAUAAUAGACAGUAACAGCAGUAUACUGUAGGUAGGGGUAAAGGAUAGAUAAUAGACAGUAACAGCAGUAUACUGUAGGUUGGGGUAAAGGAUAGAUAAUAGACAGUAACAGCAGUAUACUGUAGGUAGGGGUAAAGGAUAGAUAAUAGACAGUAACAGCAGUAUACUGUAGGUAGGGGUAAAGGAUAGAUAAUAGACAGUAACAGCAGUAUACUGUAGGUAGGGGUAAAGGAUAGAUAAUAGACAGUAACAGCAGUAUACUGUAGGUAGGGGUAAAGGAUAGAUAAUAGACAGUAACAGCAGUAUACUGUAGGUAGGGGUAAAGGAUAGAUAAUAGACAGUAACAGCAGUAUACUGUAGGUAGGGGUAAAGGAUAGAUAAUAGACAGUAACAGCAGUAUACUGUAGGUAGGGGUAAAGGAUAGAUAAUAGACAGUAACAGCAGUAUACUGUAGGUAGGGGUAAAUGAUAG